RNAcentral lists this ribosomal RNA (447 nucleotides) under Cardinium endosymbiont of Bemisia tabaci. RNAcentral's name for it is "bacterial SSU rRNA". It matches the Rfam family "Bacterial small subunit ribosomal RNA", at positions 215 to 659 of the family's 1533-position model. The record is from RNAcentral. Lineage: Bacteria; Pseudomonadati; Bacteroidota; Cytophagia; Cytophagales; Amoebophilaceae.
GCGGUGUAAAAUGAGCUUGCGUCCUAUUAGCUAGUUGGUGAGGUAAUGGCUCACCAAGGCUACGAUGGGUAGGGGUUCUUAGUGGAAGGUCCCCCACACUGGCACUGAGAUACGGGCCAGACUCCUACGGGAGGCAGCAGUAGGGAAUAUUGGUCAAUGGGCGCAAGCCUGAACCAGCCAUGCCGCGUGCAGGAUGAAGGCUCUCUGAGUUGUAAACUGCUUUUGUACAGGAGCAAAAAAAUCCCUGCGGGGGUUCUUGAGAGUACUGUAAGAAUAAGCACCGGCUAAUUCCGUGCCAGCAGCCGCGGUAAUACGGGAGGUGCAAGCGUUAUCCGGUUUUAUUGGGUUUAAAGGGUGCGUAGGCGGCUUAUUAAGUCAGUUGUGAAAUCCUAGUGCUUAACGCUAGAACUGCGAUUGAUACUAUUAGGCUUGAGUUAAGGAAGAGGU